CAGUAGCCGCGGUAAUACGUAGGGUGCGAGCGUUAAUCGGAAUUACUGGGCGUAAAGCGAGCGCAGACGGUUACUUAAGCAGGAUGUGAAAUCCCCGGGCUCAACCUGGGAACUGCGUUCUGAACUGGGUGACUAGAGUGUGUCAGAGGGAGGUAGAAUCCCACGUGUAGCAGUGAAAUGCGUAGAGAUGUGGAGGAAUACCGAUGGCGAAGGCAGCCUCCUGGGAUAACACUGACGUUCAUGCUCGAAAGCGUGGGUAGCAAACAGGAUUAGAGACCCCUGUAGUCCCUGUCUCUUAUAC
Molecule: ribosomal RNA, 301 nt
Filed under: uncultured bacterium
Lineage: Bacteria
Description: partial 16S ribosomal RNA
Rfam family: Bacterial small subunit ribosomal RNA
Source: RNAcentral